RNAcentral lists this ribosomal RNA (434 nucleotides) under uncultured Lachnospiraceae bacterium. RNAcentral describes it as "bacterial SSU rRNA". It matches the Rfam family "Bacterial small subunit ribosomal RNA", at positions 341 to 792 of the family's 1533-position model. The record is from RNAcentral. Lineage: Bacteria; Bacillati; Bacillota; Clostridia; Lachnospirales; Lachnospiraceae.
ACGGAAGGCAGCAGUGGGGAAUAUUGCACAAUGGGGGAAACCCUGAUGCAGCGACGCCGCGUGAAGGAAGAAGUAUCUCGGUAUGUAAACUUCUAUCAGCAGGGAAGAUAAUGACGGUACCUGACUAAGAAGCCCCGGCUAACUACGUGCCAGCAGCCGCGGUAAUACGUAUGGUGCAAGCGUUAUCCGGAUUUACUGGGUGUAAAGGGAGCGCAGGCGGUCCUGCAAGCCAGAGGUGAAAACCCGGGGCUCAACCCCGUGAUUGCCUUUGGAACUGUAGGACUUGAGUACUGGAGGGGCAGGCGGAAUUCCUGGUGUAGCGGUGAAAUGCGUAGAUAUCAGGAGGAACACCGGUGGCGAAGGCGGCCUGCUGGACAGAAACUGACGCUGAGGCUCGAAAGCGUGGGGAGCAAACAGGAUUAGAUACCCUGGUA